GUUUACUUCCGGUGCAGGUUACUUUCUUAUAUGCAAUGAAAUGUAGUGUGAAAUUUUCACUGUAGCACUGGAAAGGAUUAAACUUUAUUCAUGCAAAGUAUUUCUUUGGUUGAAAUAAAGUGUUCACAUGUUCUGAAGAGCAUUCUGUUGAAAAAUCUUAUAUGUGAAUUGGUCUGCAGAUGACACUUCAGCAUUAAAAUAUCAAGUUUUGAUGAAAAAGGAAGGAAGGAGGAAAAAUGGACCAAAACAGACCAAAACAGACCUUCAAAUGAACUCUAAAAGUGUUCACAUGUUCUGAAGAGCAUUCUGUUGAAAAAUCUUAUAUGUGAAUUGGUCUGCAGAUGACACUUCAGCAUUAAAAUAUCAAGUUUUGAUGAAAAAGGAAGGAAGGAGGAAAAAUGGACCAAAACAGACCAAAACAGACCUUCAAAUGAACUCUAAAAG
Molecule: long non-coding RNA, 444 nt
Organism: Mytilus trossulus (common blue mussel)
Lineage: Eukaryota; Metazoa; Mollusca; Bivalvia; Mytilida; Mytilidae
Exons: 5
Source: RefSeq, a predicted model, not a curated record